Molecule: ribosomal RNA, 264 nt
Filed under: uncultured Oscillospiraceae bacterium
Lineage: Bacteria; Bacillati; Bacillota; Clostridia; Eubacteriales; Oscillospiraceae
Description: partial 16S ribosomal RNA
Rfam family: Bacterial small subunit ribosomal RNA
Source: RNAcentral
UGAUUCUGGCUUAGCUUAGUGGCGGACGGGUGAGUAACACGUGAGCAACCUGCCUCUCAGAGGGGGAUAACGUUUGGAAACGAACGCUAAUACCGCAUAACAUAUCGAGGCCGCAUGGCUUUGGUAUCAAAGGAGCAAUCCGCUGAGAGAUGGGCUCGCGUCCGAUUAGAUAGUUGGCGGGAUAACAGCCCACCAAGUCGACGAUCGGUAGCCGGACUGAGAGGUUGAUCGGCCACAUUGGGACUGAGACACGGCCCAGACUCC